AUGGGCAAGCGGAAGUCGGCGAGGUCCAAGGCGGCGCCGCGGAAGAAGGUGGAGAAGCUGGAGACGGCCUUCUGCAGCCACGCCGCCGCCGUCGAGUGCACCAUCGAGCUCGACAUCAAGAUCGCCACCGCGUCGUGCUACGUCUGCCUGGAGAGCUACUCCACCGUGCCGGACGCCCUCACCGAGCCCAUCGACGUCUACAGCGAGUGGAUCGACGAGUGCGAGCGCGUCAACGAGGGCGUACGACGUCGCGCCAGGAUGAUGCGUGGUCGCCAUCCUGCGCUUUGUAAGCUUUUCCGCUGUACUUGCGCGGCCAAUGUGCGGCGGCGGUUCAGAUAG
RNAcentral lists this ribosomal RNA (339 nucleotides) under Triticum aestivum (bread wheat). Its description in RNAcentral is "partial small subunit ribosomal RNA". The record is from RNAcentral. Lineage: Eukaryota; Viridiplantae; Streptophyta; Magnoliopsida; Poales; Poaceae.